Molecule: long non-coding RNA, 437 nt
Filed under: Mytilus galloprovincialis (Mediterranean mussel)
Lineage: Eukaryota; Metazoa; Mollusca; Bivalvia; Mytilida; Mytilidae
Source: RNAcentral
CGCGCAGUUUUUAUGAAAGAAAUUCAACCCCUUUAAUAUGGUAAAGUGUUAAAAUGGACGAGAUUAACCUAUUAACUGAUAUGUGCAAACGCCAAACGAUGAAGCAGAGGGUGUGUUAGUGCUGAGAAAUUGGAAAUUUUGUCAUGAAGUUGAAAGUUUUGUUUGCAGUUGUCUUCUACUUCGUUAAUGACUUGGUUUUAAUGUCAUUAAUGAUUUUGUCUUCCAACUAAUUUGAUUUGAGUGCUACUUAGGAGGUCUAUGGAGACGAAGCGCACAUCUGGAGUAUUAAAUAUAAGCAUGGUUUCGUUGAUGAGUUCUGAUAACUUGUAGAAGAUAUCGAACCAAAAAAUAAGCACCAUGAAGGCAAUAUAAUGACAUAAUAAAAACGACGAAGGCAGAAGGUUUUCCUUAAUACUCUUUUUACUGUCACUUAAAAA